GAGGAGCGAAAGCGUGGGGAGCGAACAGGAUUAGAUAGCCUGGUAGUCCACGCCGUAAACGGUGGGCACUAGUUGUGGGAACCUUCCACGGUUUCUGCGACGCAGCUAACGCAUUAAGUGCCCCGCCUGGGGAGUACGAUCGCAAGAUUAAAACUCAAAGGAAUUGACGGGGCCCCGCACAAGCAGCGGAGCAUGCGGCUUAAUUCGACGCAACGCGAAGAACCUUACCAAGGCUUGACAUAUACAGGAAUAUGGCAGAAAUGUCAUAGCCGCAAGGUCUGUAUACAGGUGGUGCAUGGUUGUCGUCAGCUCGUGUCGUGAGAUGUUGGGUUAAGUCCCGCAACGAGCGCAACCCUCGUUCUGUGUUGCCAGCAUUUAGUUGGGGACUCACAGGAGACUGCCGGGGUUAACUCGGAGGAAGGUGGGGAUGACGUCAAAUCAUCAUGCCCCUUAUGUCUUGGGCUGCACGCAUGCUACAAUGGCUGGUACAAACGGCUGCGAUACCGCAAGGUGGAGCGAAUCCGAUAAAGCCAGUCUCAGUUCGGAUUGGGGUCUGCAACUCGACCCCAUGAAGUCGGAGUUGCUAGUAAUCGUAGAUCAGCAACGCUACGGUGAAUACGUUCCCGGGGCUUGUACACACCGCCCGUCACGUCACGAAAGUCGGUAACACCCGAAGUCAGUGGCCCAACCGUAAGGGGGGAGCUGC
This 706-nucleotide ribosomal RNA is filed under the name uncultured Actinomycetes bacterium. RNAcentral describes it as "bacterial SSU rRNA". It matches the Rfam family "Bacterial small subunit ribosomal RNA", at positions 748 to 1456 of the family's 1533-position model. The record is from RNAcentral. Lineage: Bacteria; Bacillati; Actinomycetota; Actinomycetes.